This 274-nucleotide ribosomal RNA is filed under the name uncultured bacterium. RNAcentral's name for it is "partial 16S ribosomal RNA". It matches the Rfam family "Bacterial small subunit ribosomal RNA", at positions 85 to 354 of the family's 1533-position model. The record is from RNAcentral.
CCGCCGGCGACCGGCGCACGGGUGAGUAACACGUAUGCAACCUGGCCGUGACAGGAUGGAUAACCGGGAGAAAUCCCGCCUAAUACAACAUAAUGCCGGGAGGGGACAUCCCCUGCCGGCCAAAGGGGGCGACCCCGGUCACGGAUGGGCAUGCGGCGCAUUAGGUAGUUGGUGGGGCAACGGCCCACCAAGCCGACGAUGCGUAGGGGUUCUGAGAGGAAGGUCCCCCACAUUGGAACUGAGACACGGUCCAAACUCCUACGGGAGGCAGCAG